Rhagoletis zephyria (snowberry fruit fly) is the source of this 87-nucleotide long non-coding RNA. RefSeq lists it as uncharacterized. The record is from RefSeq and is a predicted model, not a curated record. NCBI's taxonomy places the organism in Eukaryota, Metazoa, Arthropoda, Insecta, Diptera, Tephritidae.
ACAAAAUUGUAAGCAAAAAAUAAGUGGAGAAAAAAGUAUUUUUCUUGCACAUGGAGAAGUAGAUCGACCAGCCUACAACAAUACCAA